GGCGGUUUGGCGGGGGAUGGGUGCUUGAGGUGGUCUGACCGGUAGCGGGGGUCGCCUUCCCUAGCGGGAAGUCGGGAGCAUAUCGUUUGUUACGCUGGAAGGGGAAGAGCAUCUGAGAUUAAAUAUUAAUCUCCAAACCUUAGGCCCCCUCACUUGCAUCCUUACGGUCAGAUAACUCUCACUCAUACUUUAAGCCCAUUUUGUUUGUUGUACUUGCUCAUCCAGUCCCAGUCCCAUUGGCUUUCUCCUCACCUGUUUUAGGUAGCCAGCAAGUCAUGAAAUCAGAUAAGUUCCACCACCAAUUAACACUACCCAUCUUGAGCAUAGGCCCAACAGUGCAUUUAUUCCUCAUUUACUGAUGUUCGUGAAUAUUUACCUUGAUUUUCAUUUUUUUCUUUUUCUUAAGCUGGGAUUUUACUCCUGACCCUAUUCACAGUCAGAUGAUCUUGACUACCACUGCGAUUGGACCUGAGGUUCAGCAAUACUCCCCUUUAUGUCUUUUGAAUACUUUUCAAUAAAUCUGUUUGUAUUUUCAUUAGUUAGUAACUGAGCUCAGUUGCCGUAAUGCUAAUAGCUUCCAAACUAGUGUCUCUGUCUCCAGUAUCUGAUAAAUCUUAGGUGUUGCUGGGACAGUUGUCCUAAAAUUAAGAUAAAGCAUGAAAAUAACUGACACAACUCCAUUACUGGCUCCUAACUACUUAAACAAUGCAUUCUAUCAUCACAAAUGUGAAAAAGGAGUUCCCUCAGUGGACUAACCUUAUCUUUUCUCAACACCUUUUUCUUUGCACAAUUUUCCACACAUGCCUACAAAAAGUACUUCUCUGCUCAAGUCACACUGAGUUGAUUGCUAUUUACCGAAAUCAAAGUAACAUUAUCAGAUCUCUGUAGGGUGGUUCCCUCUGGAAUGCUACCCUCCAUAGUCCUUACCCUUCAAGUAAAGAGCAUGAAGACUGAAAUAUCUCUGUGAUCUGUCAUCCUUUAAGCCAGAAUCCCCCAUAAAAAAGUUAGUAUUGCUUUCUCCUGAUCCCAUAGCAGGUUGAAUCAUAGCACUUAUCAGGUUGUUGUCAUUGCUUGCUUAAAUUCUCCUAACUAUUUGGAGCUUCUUGAGGGCACAGGUUCUUGUUGAGUCUUGUACCUAAGCACCUAGUAUAGUCCUUGAUGUCUAGCCAACCCUAAAUAAAAUGCAGUGAGUGACAUGUAGAUGUCUUUAUAAGGUUUGAUAGGUUGGUCUCUCAAACAGUUCUUUUGUAUGUUUGGUAGUGCUCUAGAUUAGCACUGGCCAGUAUAACUCUGAUGAUGGAAAUGUUCUAUAGCUAUGCUGUCUAAUAUGGUAGUCACUACUAACAUAUGUUACUGUUGAGCCUUGGAAAUAUGGCUUUUGUGACAAAACUGAAUUUUUCAUGCUAUGUAAUUUAAGUCUAAAUUGCUACUGUGUACAUUGUGGCUGUAGCCACAAAUUUGUGCUGUGGAUUGCAGAAUAAUUAAUAUGGACAUUGAUAAUUUUCUUUUCAUACUAAGCAGUAAGGAAAGAAAAGUUGAAACUCUGUGGUCCAUUUAGGUUAUAUGUGUAUUUGUACUUGAUUGGUUUGUUUGAAUACCUAUUUCUAUACUUUAGCUGAGAGCUAAAGCCAACAAACCAGUACUGUAGAUAACCUGCUUUGGACAACAAUGUGUUGACUAGUUGGAUUUCAUCAAAGAAUGCCUAAUAAAUUUUAAGAAAAUGAGAUUUCAUUAAACCAUAAUACUGACAUAAGUUUAGGGAAGAAUCAGACUAUAUCUGGUGUUUGUGAAACUACCCCUGAAUUUCAGUCCUACAAAGUUUUCAGUUUUGGAAAAACUUUCAUCAGAGAGGGCACUAAGUUACAGGAAGCCAUCACAAAGUAAGUUUUCAUCUGAUGAAUUAUAAAUUUAAGAUAUAUUUUAAUACCAAAAUUCUUUAUGGUUUAUGUGCUAACUUAAAAUUUCUCCUUAAAAUAUGAGAACUAAGUACACAAUUGUACUUGGCUGUUUAAUGCGGAUUCCCAGUCCCUCACACAGAGAUUCUCAAUUAAGAUUGGAGAGCAGGGGUUACUAGAAUUCUUUUUCAGGUUCCUUAUAUGCUUCUGAUUUGGUGGCCUAGAAAUCACAAUGCUAGUGCAGCCCUCAUGGGGCUACAGUAUACGUAUCUGAAACAUGAUUACAUCAGGGAAACUGUAUGUCUAAUCUACUUUGUCCCUAAAGGAAGCAUUUUGAAAGGCAGAAAGUAAUAUGUGAUAGUUUUUGAAACUUGUAGGUCACAUUGUUUUUAAAAGGGAUCCAAGUAAGUUUUUUUUUCUUUUGAGGGCUACACCUGUGGCACAUGGAGGUUCCCAGGCUAGGGGUUAAAUCAGAACUGCAGCUGCCAGCCUAUGCCAGAGCCACAGCAAUGCCAGAUCUGAGCUGUGUCUGCAACUGUGUAGCUCACAGCAACGCUGGAUCCUUAACCCAAUGAGCAAGGCCAGAGAUUGAACCUACAACCUCGUGGUUCCUAGUUAGAUUUGUUUCCGCUGUGCCACGAUGGGAACUCCAAGUAAUUUUUUUUUGAGCAAGGAAGUUACCUUUUUUGUCUGUUUUCCCACUAAAUGCAUUCCUCAAGGAUUCCCAGUUUGUUCUUGAUUCCUCAGUGCCUUAACACAGACCUGGGUUCUCAGUAAAUGUUGAUUUUAUUGAUUUAUAUGUGA
RNAcentral lists this long non-coding RNA (2699 nucleotides) under Sus scrofa (pig). Its description in RNAcentral is "lncRNA (ENSSSCG00055030610.1)". The record is from RNAcentral. Lineage: Eukaryota; Metazoa; Chordata; Mammalia; Artiodactyla; Suidae.